This is a non-coding RNA of Ceratotherium simum simum (southern white rhinoceros), 1920 nucleotides long. Lineage: Eukaryota; Metazoa; Chordata; Mammalia; Perissodactyla; Rhinocerotidae. The record is from RefSeq and is a predicted model, not a curated record.
AGGUGCGGGGUAUUGGUGAGUAAUCGACGUUCUCCAGCCCCUCUCUCCUCGUUGGGUCCACGGCUCUCGGGGUAGAAACCCAGAGGAAUCCCAGGUGGUUCCAGGGCAGGAGGGAAGGCAGGGGUCCGGGCCACCCCCGGGAGAGUGGGGGGAGGGGCGGCGGGAUUGACAGUCGGUAAUUGGGUAACUGGAGGCGGCUUCUCCGGCCUGGCGGCCCCGCCACCGCGACGCCGGGCCCCUGACGUCACCCGAUUCGCCAGGAAAUGAACUUUUUAAUAAUCCGAGGAGGGAGGAAAGCCCUCGGUCCCCUCGGCUUGGGGGGCGCCCGGCCAGGCCCAGCUCCGCGGGCGCGCCCCCGUCACCCUCUCCCAAGUCAGCUCUGGGCAGCGCCAAGGAGGCGCGGGCCCCGGCCGGGGGCCUCCUCCUACCUCUGCGUCUGGCUGUCCGUUCGUCUGUCCGAGGCCCUGGCGCAGCUUACGAUUCUUCAUCAGGGAGUAAAAUGCAGUUGCCGCGAAGCCUCGAGCCUGUUUCGGGUCCCCGGAGCCUAGCGGGAGUUUCUCAAAGACACCGCGGCCCGGGAACAAUCCCCCAUGUCCGGCAAGGCUGCCCCGCUUGAACUCGAACUCCGGGACCCAGCGCGGGAAGCCGCCGGAGCGAAGCGGAAGCUUCCCGCGGCUCCGAGAUCCGCGCCUCGGCUGGCUGGGAGGCAGCCGCUUCGAGCCCUUGAGAAAGCAGAUUAUCGGAGCCCUUUCACAGUGCGCACAACAAAUGCGCCCGCCAUCGAAUGCAUCAUUUACCACCGCAGAUCUGCGCGCUGAUGGGCAGGCAGAUAGCCGUCCGCGUGGGGCAUAUCGGGCGCCCGGUGCCCGCGCUGCCUGCCUGCCUGCCUGUACGGGGCACCCGAGUGUGCGCCCCCCGGGUGUGCCCGGCGUGUUUGGAUGGACAUGCGGGUGUGCCAGUGGAUGGUCACUGAACAAGCAAGGGUUUUGGUGUGCAUGCAGGUAUGUCAAACAAGUGUGCUACAAGAAAGUGCACUUGUGCAAGCCCAUGCGCACACGCGUGGCAGGCGUGUGCACUGUGAGUGCCUGGAGACCACCGAGAUGAGGCUGGUUGAGGGUGCACAGAGGAAGGGGUGAUGCACGUGAAUGUGUCCGCAUGCAUGUCACUCAGCGUGGGUAGACACGUGUGUAAAGGAGUAGGUGUGUAAAUCUGUGUGUACAAGUGUGGUGGAUGAGUGUAUUGUGAGUGCCUCGGUGUAUCUGCCCUCGAUGAGGCUGUUUAGCGGUGCACACAGGAGGUGGUGUCGCCUGCCGCUAGGGCGGGUGUAUAUGGGCAUAUUCAGGCAUGGGUGUUUUACUCUCCAGAGUGGUGUGCGCCUGCAGGUGUCCCCGCCUACUCAGUGUUUUGGGGGCAUGCAUGCUUGUAAGCAUGUGCAUCCACGCAUGCCUGUGACUGCCAGGAGUGAGUGUGCAGGUGUCAGCGUUCACCCCAGGGUGUGCCUUGGAGUGUACACGGAUCUGCAUGAGGUUGGUUGUGUCUUUGUGUAUCUAUCUGCCCGGGUGUGCCCGGGUGCGCUGCGAGAAGGGCAAGGGGAAGGGCGGUCGUCGGGGUCUGUCCGGCGUCUGCAUGUGUAGGCUCAGGACUGGACACUCGAGCAAGGCCCCCCUCCAGCUUGGGAAAGAGACAGCCAAAGGGGAGAGAACGGUGUGUGCGGGUGUGAUAGACGCCACAGUGGAAGGAGUGGGAUGUGCUGUGUAACAUGAGUGCUUGUGACAGAAAACGGAGUGUGCGGGUCUGUAGGGGGGAGAGGUGUUCGGAGGAGUUUAGGAACACCCAGGGGUCCCAACCCUCCUCAGGGGGGCACACCCUGCCAGGGACCCAGAGCCUUCUCGUUCUGGACCUGAGCUAAGAAAGAUCCGA